AGUCACUGACAUUAGAUACCCGCGUAGUCCCAGGGUGUAAACGCUGCAGACUUUGGUGUUGGAAAUCCUUCGAGGGUAUUCAGUGCCCGGAGAGAAGUUGUUAAGUCUGCUACUUGGGGAGUACGUCCGCAAGGAUGAAACUUAAGGAAUUGCGGGGAGCACCACAACGGGUGGAGCCUGCGGUUUAAUUGGACUCAACGCCGGAAAUCUCACCGGAUAGGACAGACAUAUGAUAGUCGGGCUGAAGACUCUACUUGAUGAUCUG
Molecule: ribosomal RNA, 265 nt
Filed under: uncultured archaeon
Lineage: Archaea
Description: partial 16S ribosomal RNA
Rfam family: Archaeal small subunit ribosomal RNA
Source: RNAcentral